UACGCGAAGAACCUUACCCACCUUUGACAUGUACGGAACUCGCCAGAGAUGGCUUGGUGCUCGAAAGAGAACCGUAACACAGGUGCUGCAUGGCUGUCGUCAGCUCGUGUCGUGAGAUGUUGGGUUAAGUCCCGCAACGAGCGCAACCCUUGUCAUUAGUUGCUACAUUCAGUUGGGCACUCUAAUGAGACUGCCGGUGACAAACCGGAGGAAGGUGGGGAUGACGUCAAGUCCUCAUGGCCCUUAUAGGUGGGGCUACACACGUCAUACAAUGGCUGGUACAAAGGGUUGCCAACCCGCGAGGGGGAGCUAAUCCCAUAAAACCAGUCGUAGUCCGGAUCGCAGUCUGCAACUCGACUGCGUGAAGUCGGAAUCGCUAGUAAUCGUGGAUCAGAAUGUCACGGUGAAUACGUUCCCGGGCCUUGUACACACC
This 433-nucleotide ribosomal RNA is filed under the name uncultured Xenophilus sp. RNAcentral describes it as "bacterial SSU rRNA". It matches the Rfam family "Bacterial small subunit ribosomal RNA", at positions 958 to 1391 of the family's 1533-position model. Lineage: Bacteria; Pseudomonadati; Pseudomonadota; Betaproteobacteria; Burkholderiales; Comamonadaceae. The record is from RNAcentral.